UACGAAGGUCCCAAGCGUUGUUCGGAAUCACUGGGCGUAAAGGGAGCGUAGGCGGCGUGGUAAGUCAGAUGUGAAAUCCCGGGGCUCAACCCCGGAACUGCAUCCGAUACUGCCAUGCUAGAGGAUUGGAGAGGUAGCUGGAAUUCUUGGUGUAGCAGUGAAAUGCGUAGAGAUCAAGAGGAACACUCGUGGCGAAAGCGAGCUACUGGACAAUUCCUGACGCUGAGGCUCGAAGGCUAGGGUAGCGAACAGG
RNAcentral lists this ribosomal RNA (253 nucleotides) under uncultured bacterium. RNAcentral's name for it is "partial 16S ribosomal RNA". It matches the Rfam family "Bacterial small subunit ribosomal RNA", at positions 524 to 776 of the family's 1533-position model. The record is from RNAcentral.